UAUGGAGAGUUUGAUCCUGGCUCAGGACGAACGCUGGCGGCGUGCCUAAUACAUGCAAGUCGAGCGGACGAUUCGAAAGCUUGCUUUUGAAUCGUUAGCGGCGGACGGGUGAGUAACACGUGGGCAACCUGCCCUGUAGACGGGGAUAACACCGAGAAAUCGGUGCUAAUACCGGAUAACACGAAAUGUCGCAUGACGUUUCGUUGAAAGACGGCGCAAGCUGUCGCUACAGGAUGGGCCCGCGGCGCAUUAGCUAGUUGGUGAGGUAACGGCUCACCAAGGCGACGAUGCGUAGCCGACCUGAGAGGGUGAUCGGCCACACUGGGACUGAGACACGGCCCAGACUCCUACGGGAGGCAGCAGUAGGGAAUCUUCCGCAAUGGACGAAAGUCUGACGGAGCAACGCCGCGUGAGCGAAGAAGGCCUUCGGGUCGUAAAGCUCUGUUGUUAGGGAAGAA
Molecule: ribosomal RNA, 458 nt
Filed under: Anoxybacillus flavithermus AK1
Lineage: Bacteria; Bacillati; Bacillota; Bacilli; Caryophanales; Anoxybacillaceae
Description: bacterial SSU rRNA
Rfam family: Bacterial small subunit ribosomal RNA
Source: RNAcentral